Molecule: transfer RNA, 75 nt
Filed under: Isosphaeraceae bacterium
Lineage: Bacteria; Pseudomonadati; Planctomycetota; Planctomycetia; Isosphaerales; Isosphaeraceae
Description: tRNA-Pro
Rfam family: tRNA
About the family: Transfer RNA (tRNA) molecules are approximately 80 nucleotides in length. Their secondary structure includes four short double-helical elements and three loops (D, anti-codon, and T loops).
Source: RNAcentral
CGGGAUGUGGGAAAGCUUGGCUAAUCCGCCUGCUUCGGGAGCAGGAGAACGCCGGUUCAAAUCCGGCCAUCCCGA